AGAGUUUGAUCCUGGCUCAGAACGAACGCUGGCGGCAUGCCUAACACAUGCAAGUCGAACGAGACCUUCGGGUCUAGUGGCGCACGGGUGCGUAACGCGUGGGAAUCUGCCCUUUGCUUCGGAAUAACAGUUAGAAAUGACUGCUAAUACCGGAUGAUGUCGAAAGACCAAAGAUUUAUCGCCAAAGGAUUGGCCCGCGUUGGAUUAGGUAGUUGGUGGGGUAAUGGCCUACCAAGCCGACGAUCCAUAGCUGGUUUGAGAGGAUGAUCAGCCACACUGGGACUGAGAUGCGGCCCAGACUCCUACGGGAGGCAGCAGUAGGGAAUUUUGCGCAAUGGACGAAAGUCUGACGCAGCAACACCGUGUGAGGGAUGAAGCAUUUCGGUGUGUAAACCUCUGUCGAUGAUGAAUAAAGCGUGUGGGAGUGGAAAGCCCAUGCGUUGAAGGUAAUCAUGAAGGAAGCACCGGCUAACUCUGUGCCAGCAGCCGCGGUAAUACAGGGGGUGCAAGCGUUGUUCGGAAUCACUGGGCGUAAAGGGAGCGUAGGCGGAACUACAAGACAGGGGUUAAAGAUCCGGGCUCAACCUGGAGAGUGCCUUUGUGACUGUGGUUCUUGAGUAUGGUAGAGGUCAGCGGAAUUUCCGGUGUAGCGGUGGAAUGCGUAGAGAUCGGAAAGAACACCAGAGGCGAAGGCGGCUGACUGGACCAAUACUGACGCUGAGGCUCGAAAGCGUGGGGAGCAAACAGGAUUAGAUACCCUGGUAGUCC
RNAcentral lists this ribosomal RNA (768 nucleotides) under uncultured bacterium. RNAcentral's name for it is "bacterial SSU rRNA". It matches the Rfam family "Bacterial small subunit ribosomal RNA", at positions 8 to 796 of the family's 1533-position model. The record is from RNAcentral.